Molecule: transfer RNA, 77 nt
Filed under: Alphaproteobacteria bacterium
Lineage: Bacteria; Pseudomonadati; Pseudomonadota; Alphaproteobacteria
Also listed under: 1 other name
Description: tRNA-Pro
Rfam family: tRNA
About the family: Transfer RNA (tRNA) molecules are approximately 80 nucleotides in length. Their secondary structure includes four short double-helical elements and three loops (D, anti-codon, and T loops).
Source: RNAcentral
CGGAACGUAGCGCAGCCUGGUAGCGCACUUGCAUGGGGUGCAAGGGGUCGGAGGUUCGAAUCCUCUCGUUCCGACCA